AUUGAACGCUGGCGGCAUGCCUUACACAUGCAAGUCGAACGGCAGCACGGGUGCUUGCACCUGGUGGCGAGUGGCGAACGGGUGAGUAAUACAUCGGAACGUACCUUAUCGUGGGGGAUAACGCAGCGAAAGUUGCGCUAAUACCGCAUACGCCCUGAGGGGGAAAGCGGGGGACCGUAAGGCCUCGCGCGAUUAGAGCGGCCGAUGUCUGAUUAGCUUGUUGGUGAGGUAAAAGCUCACCAAGGCGAUGAUCAGUAGCUGGUCUGGGAGGACGAUCAGGCACACUGGGACUGGGACACGGCCCAGACUCCUACGGGAGGCAGCAGUGGGGAAUUUUGGACAAUGGGGGCAACCCUGAUCCAGCAAUGCCGCGUGAGUGAAGAAGGCCUUCGGGUUGUAAAGCUCUUUUGUCAGGGAAGAAACAGCAGCUCUAACACAGUCUGCGAAUGACGGUACCUGAAGAAUAAGCACCGGCUAACUACGUGCCAGCCGCCGCGGUAA
This 501-nucleotide ribosomal RNA is filed under the name uncultured bacterium. Its description in RNAcentral is "partial 16S ribosomal RNA". It matches the Rfam family "Bacterial small subunit ribosomal RNA", at positions 30 to 523 of the family's 1533-position model. The record is from RNAcentral.